Long non-coding RNA from Vicia villosa (hairy vetch), 709 nucleotides. RefSeq lists it as uncharacterized. The record is from RefSeq and is a predicted model, not a curated record. Lineage: Eukaryota; Viridiplantae; Streptophyta; Magnoliopsida; Fabales; Fabaceae. The transcript has 2 exons.
AAGUGACCAUGUGUUCCCCACCUCAAGGAUAUGGUGGGGCUGGACAAAACUAAACCAUCCGACCCAAACCGCCCGGCCCAUGCUAUCCGAAUGGGUUCGGUCGGGUCAAAAUCGGGUCCACGGGUCUGUCGGAUGGUUCAAGCGGUUUACUUUGGAUAGUGACGGUUCGGUUCGGAUGGUCUAAUUCAACUCAAAAUAAACCGAAUCCGACCGAGCCAGGUAUCUAUUUGUAACAGUGGCCCAAUAACUAAACUUCAACCCAAAUAAAUACCUCAUUAUCUCUUUCAAGUGAAAACCUAACCCUAAUUUGCUCUCUCACUUCACCUUGCGCCGUUUCACUCUAAACUCACUUCUACCCUCAACCUCUCACAGAUCUCAGUCUCUCAUUUCCUCUUAUACCUCCUUCUUCCAUUCUAUGUUCAUCACCAUUCAAUUAUUCACUCAUAUCUAUUUAUCAGUCUACAUCAGAUUUGAUGAUGUAAUAUGUAGAUUCACAUGCUUAAUUGCUGGAACAAGUGAUGUGGUUGCUCAAAGAUGACCAAGACCCAUGGAGUGAAGAUUGACUUCAUUUGUAAUACAAGAACAAGGGCUUGUAAUUUUUAAAGUUUUAGAUCUGAGAUGCUUUAGAUGUAUAAGCUUGAGAUAUGUAACUAAUGCUUUAGAUCUGAGAUGCUUUAUAUAUUAUAUUAUAUGAUUGAUUUGUGUUUCA